Molecule: transfer RNA, 72 nt
Filed under: Datura stramonium (jimsonweed)
Lineage: Eukaryota; Viridiplantae; Streptophyta; Magnoliopsida; Solanales; Solanaceae
Also listed under: 1 other name
Description: tRNA-Asn
Rfam family: tRNA
About the family: Transfer RNA (tRNA) molecules are approximately 80 nucleotides in length.
Source: RNAcentral
UCCUCAGUAGCUCAGUGGUAGAGCGGUCGACUGUUAACCGAUUGGUCGUAGGUUCAAAUCCUACUUGGGGAG